Molecule: ribosomal RNA, 484 nt
Filed under: uncultured bacterium
Lineage: Bacteria
Description: partial 16S ribosomal RNA
Rfam family: Bacterial small subunit ribosomal RNA
Source: RNAcentral
GAUGAACGCUGGCGGCGUGCUUAACACAUGCAAGUCGAACGGUGAAGCAGGAGCUUGCUCUUGUGGAUCAGCGGCGAACGGGUGAGUAACACGUGAGCAACCUGCCCCUGACUCUGGGAUAAGCGCUGGAAACGGCGUCUAAUACUGGAUAUGUGAUGUGACCGCAUGGUCUGCAUCUGGAAAGAAUUUCGGUUGGGGAUGGGCUCGCGGCCUAUCAGCUUGUUGGUGAGGUAAUGGCUCACCAAGGCGUCGACGGGUAGCCGGCCUGAGAGGGUGACCGGCCACACUGGGACUGAGACACGGCCCAGACUCCUACGGGGGGCAGCAGUGGGGAAUAUUGCACAAUGGGCGGAGGCCUGAUGCAGCAACGCCGCGUGAGGGAUGACGGCCUUCGGGUUGUAAACCUCUUUUAGCAGGUAAGAAGCGAAAGUGACGGUACCUGCAGAAAAAGCACCGGCUAACUACGUGCCAGCCGCCGCAGUAA